AAAUUGAAGAGUUUGAUCAUGGCUCAGAUUGAACGCUGGCGGCAGGCCUAACACAUGCAAGUCGAACGGUAACAGGAAGCAGCUUGCUGCUUCGCUGACGAGUGGCGGACGGGUGAGUAAUGUCUGGGAAACUGCCUGAUGGAGGGGGAUAACUACUGGAAACGGUAGCUAAUACCGCAUAAUGUCGCAAGACCAAAGAGGGGGACCUUCGGGCCUCUUGUCAUCGGAUGUGCCCAGAUGGGAUUAGCUUGUUGGUGGGGUAACGGCUCACCAAGGCGACGAUCCCUAGCUGGUCUGAGAGGAUGACCAGCCACACUGGAACUGAGACACGGUCCAGACUCCUACGGGAGGCAGCAGUGGGGAAUAUUGCACAAUGGGCGCAAGCCUGAUGCAGCCAUGCCGCGUGUAUGAAGAAGGCCUUCGGGUUGUAAAGUACUUUCAGCGGGGAGGAAGGGAGUAAAGUUAAUACCUUUGCUCAUUGACGUUACCC
This 490-nucleotide ribosomal RNA is filed under the name Escherichia coli. RNAcentral describes it as "bacterial SSU rRNA". It matches the Rfam family "Bacterial small subunit ribosomal RNA", at positions 1 to 480 of the family's 1533-position model. The record is from RNAcentral. Lineage: Bacteria; Pseudomonadati; Pseudomonadota; Gammaproteobacteria; Enterobacterales; Enterobacteriaceae.